GAUGAACGCUGGCGGCGUGCCUAACACAUGCAAGUCGAGCGGCAGCGAGGGGUGCUUGCACCCUGUCGGCGAGCGGCGGACGGCUGAGUAACGCGUGGGAACGUGCCCCAAAGUGAGGAAUAACUGCCCGAAAGGGUAGCUAAUACCGCAUAUUAUCUUCGGAUCAAAGGAUUUAUCCGCUUUGGGAGCGGCUCGCGUCGGAUUAGGUAGUUGGUGAGGUAAUGGCUCACCAAGCCGACGAUCCGUAGCUGGUCUGAGAGGAUGACCAGCCAGACUGGAACUGAGACACGGUCCAGACUCCUACGGGAAGCAGCAGUGAGGAAUCUUCCACAAUGGGCGAAAGCCUGAUGGAGCAACGCCGCGUGCAGGACGAAGGCCUUCGGGUUGUAAACUGCUUUUAUAAGUGAGGAAUAUGACGGUAACUUAUGAAUAAGGAUCGGCUAACUACGUG
Molecule: ribosomal RNA, 451 nt
Filed under: uncultured bacterium
Lineage: Bacteria
Description: partial 16S ribosomal RNA
Rfam family: Bacterial small subunit ribosomal RNA
Source: RNAcentral